Passer domesticus (house sparrow) is the source of this 393-nucleotide long non-coding RNA. RefSeq lists it as uncharacterized. The transcript is spliced from 3 exons. Lineage: Eukaryota; Metazoa; Chordata; Aves; Passeriformes; Passeridae. The record is from RefSeq and is a predicted model, not a curated record.
UGGUCUGAUGGGAUAGGGAAGUGGCAGAGGCAAGUCUUGCUGCCGCACUUACUUUCAUGAUGUCAUAGGACACAGAAUUGUCACAUGCUGAGAGGAUUCUGACAACUUUAACCUUAUCAACAAAAGCUAGUACUGCCAGCAUUGUCUCCACUCAUUUUAAUGCUGUUUCAGUUGAAGGAUAUAGAAAGCACAGCUGAGAACAAGACACUCUACUUUUAUUGAAUUACAUAAAGGAGAGAAAAAGACUACAAACUGCAGACUUCAUGAAACAGCAGAAACACGAACAGAGCUGAAGUGAUGGUAAGCUGGAAAGAAGAUGCAAUGAGCUGGAAAGAAGGAACAUAAGGAUAAAAGUGACAAGAAAUAUGCCACAUUAGACUAAUGAUACUGAGA